CGAACGCUGGCGGCGUGCUUAACACAUGCAAGUCGAACGCGAAAGGGACUUCGGUCCUGAGUAAAGUGGCGCACGGGUGAGUAACGCGUAGAUAACCUGUCUUCAUGUCUGGAAUAAUACGCCGAAAGGGGUACUAAUACCGGAUAUUCUUGCUUUUCAUAAGUUAUGCAAGCAAAGGUGGCCUCUGCAUAUGCUACUGCAUGAAGAGGGGUCUGCGUACCAUUAGCUAGUAGGUGGGUAAUGGCCUACCUAGGCGACGAUGGUUAGCGGGUCUGAGAGGAUGAUCCGCCACACUGGCACUGGAACACGGGCCAGACUCCUACGGGAGGCAGCAGUGAGGAAUAUUGCGCAAUGGGGGAAACCCUGACGCAGCGACGCCGCGUGAGUGAAGGAAGGCCUUCGGGUCGUAAAGCUCUGUCAAGAGGAAAGAAGUGUACAAUGGCUAAUACCUGUUGUAUUUGACGGUACCUCUAAAGGAAGCACCGACUAACUCCGUGCCAGCCGCUGC
Molecule: ribosomal RNA, 508 nt
Filed under: uncultured bacterium
Lineage: Bacteria
Description: bacterial SSU rRNA
Rfam family: Bacterial small subunit ribosomal RNA
Source: RNAcentral